RNAcentral lists this ribosomal RNA (492 nucleotides) under uncultured bacterium. Its description in RNAcentral is "partial 16S ribosomal RNA". It matches the Rfam family "Bacterial small subunit ribosomal RNA", at positions 29 to 507 of the family's 1533-position model. The record is from RNAcentral.
AGCGAACGCUGGCGGCAUGCCUAACACAUGCAAGUCGAACGGCAGCACACUAAGAGCUUGCUCUUAUGGGUGGCGAGUGGCGGACGGGUGAGGAAUACAUCGGAAUCUACUUUUUCGUGGGGGAUAACGUAGGGAAACUUACGCUAAUACCGCAUACGACCUACGGGUGAAAGCAGGGGAUCUUCGGACCUUGCGCGAUUGAAUGAGCCGAUGUCGGAUUAGCUAGUUGGCGGGGUAAAGGCCCACCAAGGCGACGAUCCGUAGUUGGUCUGAGAGGAUGGUCGGCCACACUAGAGCUGAGACGCGGUCCAGGCUACUACGGGAGGCAGCAGUGGGGAAUAUUAGACAAUGGGCGCAAGCAUGAUCCAGCCAUGCCGCGUGGGUGAAGAAGGCCUUCGGGUUGUAAAGCCCUUUUGUUGGGAGAGAAAAGCAGCAGGUUGAUACGCCGCUGUUCUGACGGUACCCAAAGAAUAAGCACCGGCUAACUACGUG